AUAACCCUACAACGCAGAUAUGGCAAAGCUUCAUGCAAUAGGGGCUCGGUGUUGCUAUAUAGGUCACAUGUACAUAGCGACUCAGUUGAUAGAUCUCGGCUGUCGUAGUCGUAUAUAAGAGACAGGAUCUAUUGUAUGAAAGACUUUAGGUGUGUAGAAACCCAUCAUGGAUAUUUUUGGUGUCGUCGACCUCCCAUUGUGGUUAGUUCUCAUCUGUCUUCUUGGCCUACUUUUUUACUGGUACGCCACACGACCCUACUCUCUGUUCGCAUCCCUCAACAUUCCCGGCCCUAAACCAAUACCAUUGUUUGGUAAUCUGCUGACCGAAACAAAACAGGGAUUCCACGUGGCACAUCAACAGUGGUUGAAACAGUAUGGGAAUAUUGUCGGGUUCUACGAGGGUCAGCACCCCUGCAUGCUGGUCGCAGACAAAGCCGUGCUUAAAGAGAUAAUGGUGAAACAGUUCAACAGUUUCAGGAACAGGCGGCCUCUGGGAAGCAUAACUGGCUAUCCAAUGAGUGACGGCAUCAUGCAACAAAGGGAUGAAGACUGGAAGCGUUCUCGGAGUAUCCUCACGCCGACCUUCAGCUCAGCCAAACUCAAACAGGUGUGCGAGCUAGUGAGCGUGUGCAGUGACACGCUCGUGGUCAACUCUCGGGCGCUGGCCAAAGAGGGCCGAGAAGUGGAGUUGAAAGAUCACUUCUCUGCCUUCACCCUGGACGUGAUCGCAAGCUCCGCGUUUGGCCUUCAGAUCGACUCUCAGAGUAACCCGGAUGACAACUUCAUCAAGCACGCCAAAAGUCUCACCAAUAUUAAAUUCGCCGGUCUGCUUUUCAUGUCCUAUUUUUUAGUGCCGUUCGUGCUGCCAGUGUUCAGACUACUCAACCUGUCAGUUGCGCCAAAGCAGCCAUUAGACUUCUUCCUCAAGGUCGUGGACCAUGCUGUGAAGGUCAGACAAUCUGGAGAGGAGACGCGGACGGAUCUGCUGCAGCUGAUGAUAAACGCUCACGAUGAAGAUUCUGGGACGGUGGAACCAGAGGACGAACUCAGCAGCAGCCUUCAGUAUGAAGUCAAGGGAACGAGGAAAGGGCUCACAUCUACGGAGAUGCUGGCCCACUCGGUGACAUUCUUCCUGGCGGGACACGAGACUACCUCAAGCGCCAUGUCUUAUGUAGCAUACAAUCUUGCCCUUCACCCUCACUGGCAGGACAGGGUUGCCAAGGAGAUAGACGAGAUCCUUGAACAGACUCUCCCGACGUACGACAACGUGGGCAAAUUGCCACUACUGGAGAUGUGCGUGCUGGAAUCUCUGCGUCUCUACCCUCCAGCCGUCAGGUUUGAGCGGGAAGCAGCAGACGACAUUGUCAUCAAUGGCGUCUGUAUUCCAAAAAACACCAUGGUCAUCGCUCCCGUCUAUGCAAUGAAUAGGGACCCGGAUGUGUUUCCGGAUCCGGACUCGUUCCAGCCAGAGAGCCUUUCUACCCCGCCAGGUUCAGCGCUGAGAACAAGUGCCGUCUCGGCCAGUGCGACUUCAUGCCGUUCGGGAUGGGCCCGCGGAGCUGCAUUGGGAUGAGGAUGGCGAUGGUGGAGGCCAAGAUGGGGCUGGCCAGAAUGCUGCAACACUUCAAGUUCGUCAGAUCUGCACGAACGCAGGUGCCUUUGACGUUCCGGAAAUCCCCCCUACUACAACCAGAGAAGGGGAUAUGGCUCCAACUCGAAGCCAGAAAAUGACAUGUUUCCUAAGGGUUGGUCCAAGUGUCUGUUCAGCGGUAAACAAGGCGUAACAAUAUAUACAACAUGUAACGUCUUACGCGAACUCCAUUAACCCGACAUAUCACUUUAAGCGCGUGUAAAGUUACGACCCUUACACAUUCCUGACGAAUCUGUGGUCUAAUAUCGACACUGAGCAUAACAUGAACUAACGGAUAACGAAUGGUCCCUUGGAUAUAGAGUUGUUGGUUGUACGUUAUAUCUGUUCAAGGCAAACAGGUUAGAGAUGUUGAACUUUAAUUUAGUUUCGAAAUAGUUUACCAAAUAAGGGUUUAAAUUUGAAAUGUACAUGAUGUCCAUGUGUGGCCCAACACGUGCCUGUAAUAUGUAUAGAUUGUAAAGUGUGAGAAUGAUACGAUUGAAUGAACAUUUGCUGUAUGAUUUAGUGAAGCGUUCCCGAGAAUGUAGAACGCAAAUUUGAUUACGUAAUAAAGUUUUGUUCGUGUU
This is an RNA transcript of Haliotis rufescens (red abalone), 2217 nucleotides long. It is a transcript of the gene named cytochrome P450 3A8-like, with no coding region annotated. The record is from RefSeq and is a predicted model, not a curated record. NCBI's taxonomy places the organism in Eukaryota, Metazoa, Mollusca, Gastropoda, Lepetellida, Haliotidae. The transcript is spliced from 13 exons.